AGUUACUUUCAGAUCUCUUGAAAGUGCAUUUACGAGUGAUUUGCAAGAUUCAGCUUCUGCUGCUCACCAAAACAGAGCAGCCAUGAUCAGGGCAGAACUUACACCGAUAUUUUCUGAGGCAUUCCCUUCCUUCUUGAUCCUGACAAUCAUCACGUUCAGGAGGGGCUCAGUUGUCAAUAUCAUGGAUGUUGAGUUCACAGCCACAUCUGCGCCAGGCAACACCCAAAUUGAGGACAUCUUAUCUGAGGCGGCGUUAGUGGUCACUGGCUUCGACAUUGAACAAAGCUCCAUCACUGUUGAUUCAACACCCACAGAUGCAAUAACUACAGUGACAACCCCAAAAGACACAACAGCUGUAGAAACAACUGCAGAUCAGACAACUCCAGUAACAUUGGUUCCAGCAAC
Long non-coding RNA from Syngnathus acus (greater pipefish), 405 nucleotides. RefSeq lists it as uncharacterized. The record is from RefSeq and is a predicted model, not a curated record. The transcript has 3 exons. Lineage: Eukaryota; Metazoa; Chordata; Actinopteri; Syngnathiformes; Syngnathidae.